CCUACGGGUGGCAGCAGUGGGGAAUAUUGGACAAUGGGCGAAAGCCUGAUCCAGCCAUGCCGCGUGUGUGAAGAAGGCCUUCGGGUUGUAAAGCACUUUCAGUGGGGAAGAAAGCCUUGGGGCUAAUACCCUCGAGGAAGGACAUCACCCACAGAAGAAGCACCGGCUAACUCCGUGCCAGCAGCCGCGGUAAUACGGAGGGUGCGAGCGUUAAUCGGAAUUACUGGGCGUAAAGCGCGCGUAGGCGGUCUGAUAAGCCGGUUGUGAAAGCCCCGGGCUCAACCUGGGAACGGCAUCCGGAACUGUCAGGCUAGAGUGCAGGAGAGGAAGGUAGAAUUCCCGGUGUAGCGGUGAAAUGCGUAGAGAUCGGGAGGAAUACCAGUGGCGAAGGCGGCCUUCUGGACUGACACUGACGCUGAGGUGCGAAAGCGUGGGUAGCAAACAGGAUUAGAUACUCUAGUAGUC
Molecule: ribosomal RNA, 465 nt
Filed under: Vreelandella stevensii
Lineage: Bacteria; Pseudomonadati; Pseudomonadota; Gammaproteobacteria; Oceanospirillales; Halomonadaceae
Description: partial 16S ribosomal RNA
Rfam family: Bacterial small subunit ribosomal RNA
Source: RNAcentral